UAUCGGAUCUUUUUAAUGGCUCCUCUACUGGCUCCAGAUUCAAUUCUCCAUUCAAAUCCAAUUUUAUAUGUGUCGAUCUUUCCACCUCAUGAACUUCAUCAAGUUCAAUUUUACAAGCAUUAGCUCUUUCAUUAAGGAACUCCUUUUUCAAAAAGACUGCUUGACUACUGAUAAACACAUUUUGUUCUGCAGCAAGGUAGAAGUAGUAUCUUUUAGUUUUCUUUGGGUACCCUACAAACAAGCAUCUGUCAGACUUCAGUCCAAGCUUAUCUGUAUUUAAACACUUGACAUAAGCUGGACAUCCCCAGAUCCUA
This 314-nucleotide long non-coding RNA is filed under the name Elaeis guineensis (African oil palm). RNAcentral describes it as "long non-coding RNA (EGUI_LNC061992)". Lineage: Eukaryota; Viridiplantae; Streptophyta; Magnoliopsida; Arecales; Arecaceae. The record is from RNAcentral.